This 791-nucleotide ribosomal RNA is filed under the name Lactiplantibacillus plantarum. RNAcentral's name for it is "bacterial SSU rRNA". It matches the Rfam family "Bacterial small subunit ribosomal RNA", at positions 63 to 824 of the family's 1533-position model. The record is from RNAcentral. Lineage: Bacteria; Bacillati; Bacillota; Bacilli; Lactobacillales; Lactobacillaceae.
CGAACUCUGGUAUUGAUUGGUGCUUGCAUCAUGAUUUACAUUUGAGUGAGUGGCGAACUGGUGAGUAACACGUGGGAAACCUGCCCAGAAGCGGGGGAUAACACCUGGAAACAGAUGCUAAUACCGCAUAACAACUUGGACCGCAUGGUCCGAGUUUGAAAGAUGGCUUCGGCUAUCACUUUUGGAUGGUCCCGCGGCGUAUUAGCUAGAUGGUGGGGUAACGGCUCACCAUGGCAAUGAUACGUAGCCGACCUGAGAGGGUAAUCGGCCACAUUGGGACUGAGACACGGCCCAAACUCCUACGGGAGGCAGCAGUAGGGAAUCUUCCACAAUGGACGAAAGUCUGAUGGAGCAACGCCGCGUGAGUGAAGAAGGGUUUCGGCUCGUAAAACUCUGUUGUUAAAGAAGAACAUAUCUGAGAGUAACUGUUCAGGUAUUGACGGUAUUUAACCAGAAAGCCACGGCUAACUACGUGCCAGCAGCCGCGGUAAUACGUAGGUGGCAAGCGUUGUCCGGAUUUAUUGGGCGUAAAGCGAGCGCAGGCGGUUUUUUAAGUCUGAUGUGAAAGCCUUCGGCUCAACCGAAGAAGUGCAUCGGAAACUGGGAAACUUGAGUGCAGAAGAGGACAGUGGAACUCCAUGUGUAGCGGUGAAAUGCGUAGAUAUAUGGAAGAACACCAGUGGCGAAGCGGCUGUCUGGUCUGUAACUGACGCUGAGGCUCGAAAGUAUGGGUAGCAAACAGGAUUAGAUACCCUGGUAGUCCAUACCGUAAACGAUGAAUGCUAAGUGUU